Molecule: long non-coding RNA, 6372 nt
Filed under: Medicago truncatula (barrel medic)
Lineage: Eukaryota; Viridiplantae; Streptophyta; Magnoliopsida; Fabales; Fabaceae
Description: long non-coding RNA (MTRU_LNC001488)
Source: RNAcentral
UUUACCGUUCACCAUGGACAUGGAUGAGAUUGUGAGAGUUCAUUUUUUCCAACUUAACAAAGUCAGAAGUCAUUUCUUUCAAUGAAGGAGACAUAGAAAUCGAACCUAAAGAUUGUUAUAUAACUUGAUUUGGGAGACUGCUGCAAUAGCUUGACUGAGAAGAUGAUGAAGAUGAACAUAAUGAAGUGUAUAUAACUUGAUUGUUGGGAAGAUGCUGCUGCACUUGAAACCUGAAAAAUUUAAUGGUUAUGCAUGUAAAACUCAGAGCGCACGGGGUUGCCACACUAACCUUUAGGUUCGAUUCGCCCCCACCAAUAACUGUAUAUUUGAUGCAAAAUGAAUGACUAGCGAAUACCCUUCAAGAUACUAUGAGUUCCUUGAUGUGUAUUGCACAGCCACACCAAGCGUAUUUCCUAACAGUAUUUUACAGAUUUAUGGUUUCAGCAAUUCACUCAUGCAUUAGAGAAUUGAUGGAUGAUUUAAAGUAAGAAAAUGAGUAAGAAAAUGAGGGUUAAUGUAACAAAAUUCUUGUUCUUGUUGUGUCCAAAUUAAUGCCCAAAUGUCAAACAUUUAUAGUGCAUUAUAUGACCAUUCACAUGAGUGAAAACACCCUUUUGACUUGAAUCAAUGAUAUGGUUCAUUAAGCACUCAUUUGCCAAAUGUUAUGAUCAUAUACACUUGAAUCAAUGCUAUGGUUCAUUAAGUAUCCAUUUACCAAAUGUUAUAAUGUAUAUGAAUGAUUCCCAUAAAGAGUUAUAACUUUUGGUUCUAAAGUGAUUCCAUUAUUUUAGAAAUCACCAACAAAACAUUCAAGACACAUAAUCUAGAAAGAGAAAUCAACAACUCGAAGAAUAAUAUACUCCCUCCGUCCCAAAUUGUAAGACGUUUUGGACAUUUCACACAUAUAUUAAGAAAUGCAAUUAAUAUUGUGUGGAAAAGAGAUAUUAUGAGUUGUUUUACAAAAUUGUCCUUAAUAAAUAAUAUGGGAAAAAUAAAUGAAAGAAUUGAAAUAAGAGAGAGUAAUAAAUAGUUAAGGUUAUAAGAGGAAAAGUAACGUUAAAGUUGCAUUGGUAUUGUAAAGCGACAUACAAUUUGGGACAAAUUUUUUUCCCUAAAGCGACAUACAAUUUGGGACGGAGGGAGUAUUGUCUAGUAAAUGAAAUGCAUCAAUGCUAAUCAAUAUUGAUCCUAUACAUUCAUGACUAAUCAAUGCUAAUCAAUUUACACUUAAUUUACAAUAAUGAUAUUCUAAGACUUUUAUAUAUCCCAACGGGUAUAAUAUAUACCCCAAUGGGUAUAUAGACUAAGGCCCCGUUUGGAUUGGCUUAUUUUGAGUUUAUGUGGGCUUAUCUACUUCCAUAAGCUUUUUUAAAGGUGUUUGGGUAAAUAAAUAAAAAUAGCUUAUCAUAGUUUCAUAAGCUGCUUAUGCCAUAUUUUAAUAAGCCUGAAUUUUCAGCUUACCCUCCGGCUUAACAAGGAGCUUAUGAAUUUAUGUAACCUCCUUCGAUUCUCUCUUGAUCCACUUUUUCAAAACAUAUAUAUUUAUUUUAUUUUUUAGUUUUUUUUUAUAUUUUAAUUAUAAUGUUAGUUAUCUUUGGUUGUGCAUGAGUAACAAAAUUGCUAUAUACUUAUCUUACUAAAGUAACACACGUAACUAAGAUUUUUUUUUUUUAAGGAUGAUUUUUAUUAUUUUUUUGUUACGUAACAAAAUAAAACUGAAUAAAAAAAAUAAACUUAACUUGUCUUUUUUUGAUAACAAACUGUACAUUAAUAUCUAUAUAUGGUAAGUUUACAAUCAUAAUUUCUCAAGUUUAUAUUUAUAUUAUUAUACUUUUUUUUAAAAGAAAGUUUAUCAUAUAUUAUUAUACUUGUGUAUAAUGAUGUUUAGACUAUUUAUUUACACCUCGAAUGUUAAUUUUGUCUUAUAUGAAUAUUGAUAUUUUUUUAAGGACGAAUAUUGAUUAUACUAUAUAUAUAAUUAUAAUUAAUAUAUUAUAAUAUUAUUUUUUACAUCUUGAUUAAUUUUAUCAAAAAAAAUCUUGAUAAUUGUGGUUCGAUUCUUUGAUUUUUUUGUUAAAUUAAAAAUAUUUAAAAUUUUGAGAUAAUUGCUUAUGUAAUGUCACAUCCAAACACUUCAAUUUAUGUAAGUACUUUUUAGUGUACAUAUCCAAACAUAAAUAGCUUAUCAAGUAUAAGAGCUUAUGAUGUAAGCUAUAAUGUUAUAAGCAUCUAUAUAAGCUGUUUAUCCAAACGGGGUCUAAUAAGUAUCAAAGACUAUUAAAAAACCAUAUAGUCAACAAAUUUAUAUGAAAGCUUAUUCAUUCAGAAGAUGAGCUAUGUAUUGGAUCUUCUAGUCACAUUCUUUGUCAUAUGGUCAUCACUUAAUUUCAAAUCAUUUGAAAUAAGUUUACCAUUCGGUCGAAGAAAUGUCUCUGAACGAUUAAAGUUAUAUUCCAUCCAAAGCAUCAAUUUCAAAAGCUAGGAAGAUUUUGUAGAUAAUCACAUGACAGAGUUUUCAACAAAAGAGUUAGUUUUAUUUUAUGUAAAAGAUAAUGUUAGUGAGAUUCACGUUAUAGCUCUUCAAAAUUCACGUUGAAUAUACACUCGGUAGAUAUUCCCACAUAAAAUGGAUCCUAAAGAUAGUGUUAGUGAUAAUUGUUCAUAGGAACAUUAAAUAAAGUGGUUAUAAUAUUCAUAACUUUGAAGGUAAACAUGACUAUUUAGUAAAAUAUAUGCAUUAAAGUAAAGACGGGAAUCAAACCAAGUUCAAAGAAAACUUUAAAUCUAAUCAAUAUUAAUGCAGUUUCUCUAGACAUAGUCGAACAAAAUAAACACGAAUAUAAAAGAGAUGGGGCUUAAGAAAACCAAACAAUAUUCUUAAAAAAAUUAAAAAAAAAACCAAAAUGUAACACCACAAAGAUAAUUUUAUACGCCACAGAGAGUUUAACACCUACACACGACGCCCUUUCUUGUUUUUUAUAUCUUGUCAGUCUCUGUUUGUCUUGAGUGGUGACCUGGUUAUUAAUAAAUUUAGUUGUUCAAAAAAGUGAGACUUAUUAUAUGGGGGUGCAUUUAGCAUAUGAUAAUGUGUAACUUGCAAAGCCCACAAGUGUGCUCUCUUGGCUUGCAGAAGCACAAAAUUGGUUGCCUUACUUCAAGAGCACAUAAGUGAUUAUGUAAAAUAUGGUCUUUUUGUUUAAGCAACAUGACACUAACCUAAAUCACUUUUAGUAAACCCUAUUCUUUCUGAAACCCUGAAACUAAACCCUCUUUCCUCUUUCUAAGUGUUCAUCAAAUUAGCUAGCACAAUGAGUACAUGAGUUAUGUUAGUGUAGACUGAGUAAAAACAUCGCUAUUUUUCUUUUCUAAUGGUCAUCCUUACACUUGAUAAUCGUAUAUUCUAAAUUUAGAAGUAGAAUAAAUAAUAAAUAUUUUUUACCAAUGAAUAAAUAAUAAAUAUUAAUAAUGAUAUAUUGACAUUAUUAAUUAAAGUGAAUAAUAAUUAUGUACUGACAUUGUUAUUUUUAUAUUGUUAUUGUCAAAAAGAUUUAAAGGCAGGCGAAACAUUUUUUCAAGAAAAAACAAAGUGCAAAUGACAAACUUGACAUCUAAACUAUGUUGGCUUCCCAUUAUUAUAAUCUAUAAUUUGCAGCACUCUAAAAUUAUUAUAAAUAAAUAAAUGAAAAAUGAAAAUUACAAAUAUUGAGGGGACUAGACCAAAACCUAAUAAAAGUUAACCAAGUGAUUUUAGAAUGUCCCUUGUUAACCUAUUGGGAUAAAACCCGAGUACGGGAAAAAGGUACAUAACAACUAAACAACAUAAAGGCAACAUAAACAUAAAUCAAAGUGCAUAGGAUAUGACAUGAAAAUAAAUUAUAUGUAACAUAUAAUUAUUUUACAUAUUAAUGGUUAAUAAUCCAACCACAAACAAAAUAAGUUAACGCACAACAAGUAUUGUUCAGGAAUGUUACACCCAAUUUUGUGGUUAUUUACUCGACAAUGAAUGUGACUGUUGCAUGAAACAAACACUGCAAUGUAAAAUAACAUUAAAGUAUUUUUAUUAAAAGAGUAUGAAAUAUUGUGUCUAAUAUAAAUAAGAAAAUGAGAAAAUAAUGUCGAAAAUUACUUACCGCCAUUGGUUACAUGGAGAUAUGUAUAAAGGAAGAUUAUCAGAGCAAAAAAAACUUUGAAAUGUGAGUCAUUGUUUUGAAAAAUUUUAAAGAGAUCGUUUUUGUAAAAUGAUAUGAACUUGGCGUGAUUUUGUGAUUUCAUGGAAUUGGCCUAGGAUACUUGUAUGCCUAAGAUACAAUGGAUUAACCAUUUUAUAAGUAAAAGUUUAUUGCUUGAAUUGACAUCAAUUAAAUAAAUUAAAGCUAUUGUUAAAUGGCUCUAAGGUAUAUCAGUGUGCCAAGUUUAUCCUUUAGCGCACUCAAUUAACCAGUUAAGCAUAAUAAAGAUCUCAAAUAAAAAAAAAUUAAGCCCAUAAAAAAUUUAGUAGAUUUUUUUAUUUUUUAGCCUAUCAUGAUAGAGAGGGGACAAAAUACCCAAAGAUAAAUAAUGGCAAGGUAAUUAAAAUCGGAUCGAACCAUCUGGUUUAACUAGUUGAACCGGGAACCGGACCUAUGUCUGGUCUGAAAUAAAAAGAAAACGGGUGUUGCAACGAACCGGGAAACCAGAUAAUAAAGAUUUGUUGUGCAUAAAAAUUAAAUAACAGUAAAUAAAUAUUGUUUGGAAAAGUUAUGGAGAGAGAUGAGACUAGGUCUUCCGAAUCAUUUGAUUUUCCUUAAUUGGUACACUACACCUACUUCUCAUGAAUAUUUUUUUAGUUUUAUGAUGAUUAACUAAAAUAGCCCUAAUCAAUCCCUUGACUUAGGACCCUCUUCUCAGAUUACAACCCCUAAAUCCUUAGGUGAUCUAAUAUUCUUUGAAGGUUUGAAGAAUGUUAACCUAAUAUCACAAAUACUUGAUUGAGGUGUAUUGUUUUGAAAAAUGUCAAAAAGAUUGUUUUUGUAAAAUGAUACGAACUUGGCGUGAUUUUGUGAUUUCUUGGAAUUGGCCUUGAAUACUUGUCUGCCUAAGCUACUAUGGAUUAACCAUUUUAUAAGUAAAAGUUUAUUGCUUUACCAACAUCAAUUAAAUAUAUUUUAACACUAAAGAGGUGAAAAAUUGUUUACUAUAUUAAAGUUAUUGUUAAAUGGCUCUAAGGUAUAUCAGUGUGCCAAGUUUAUCCUUUGGCGCACUCAAUUAACCAUUUAAGCAUAAUAAGGAUCUCAAAUAAAAAAUUUAAACCCGGCAAAAAUUUAGUAGAUUUUUUAUUUUUUAGCCUAUCAUGAUAGAGAGGGGACAAAAUACCCAAAUAUAAAUAAUGGCAAGGUAAUUAAAAUCGGAUCGAACCAUCUGGUUUGACUCGUUGAACUAGGAACCAGAACUAUGUCUGGUCUGAAAUACAAAGAAAACUGGUGUCGCAACGAACCGGGAAACCAGAUAAAAACUGGAUGAACCGGGAAAACCAGCGGGCUACACGGUUUGGCAGGUUGAACCGCAUUUUACAAUUUUUUUGAAAAAAAAUCUCAAACCAGAUUUGUUAUGCCAUAAGUCUGAACUAAGAAAAGUUAUGGUGGUUUUAUAGCAAGAAGACAUAAAUCUAAGUAGAAUAAAAAUAUAGAGGAGACCAUGAAAUGGAGAUCUUGGAGAAAAAACGAAAAGGAUAAUCAUAGUUGGUGGGUUGCGUUGCUGCUAUUUAGAAAUUAGGGUUAGUGUGACAUUUAUACUUAUAAUAACUGAUAGACUUUUAGAAGGUGUACUAAAACUAUUGAACUAAUACAAUUAAUGUUGUUUCCAUGAGAACAAUAUUAAUCUCAAGUAAACGAUAGCAUUAUGAAAUAGGAUGUGUAAAGUUAUUUAGUGCCUGAGACAGUAGAUUUGUUGUGCAUAAAAAUUAAAUAACAGAAAAUAAAGAUUGUUUGGAAAAGUUAUGGAGAGAGAUGAGACUAGGUCUUUCGAAUACUUUGAUUUCCCCUAAUUGAUACACUACACCUAUUUCUCAUGAAUAUUUCUCUAGUUUUACGAUGAUUAACUAAAAUAGCUCUAAUCAAUCCCUUGACUUAGGACCCUCUUCUCAGAUUACGAUCCCUAAUUCCUUAGGUGAUCUAAUAUACUUUAAAGGUUUGAAUAACGUUAACCUAAUAUCACAAAUACUUGAUUGAGGUGUAUUGUUUUGAAAAAUGUCAAAAAGAUCGUUUUUGUAAAAUGAUACGAACUUGGCGUGAUUUUGUGAUUUCUUGGAAUUGGCCUAGGAUACUUGUAUGCCUAAGCUACUAUGGAUUAACCAUUUUAUAAGUAAAAGUUUAUUUCUCUAUUGACAUCAAUUAA